Molecule: long non-coding RNA, 895 nt
Filed under: Mustela putorius furo (domestic ferret)
Lineage: Eukaryota; Metazoa; Chordata; Mammalia; Carnivora; Mustelidae
Description: lncRNA (ENSMPUG00000025997.1)
Source: RNAcentral
AGGAGCCCCUUGGUUGAUUGGUUGGUUGGUUGGUUGGUUGGUUUCAUUUUUUUCUUUCUUCAGCUUUCCUUUUUCUUUUUCACUUUGUCUUUCUCUUUCAUGGCGGAGAGGAGCACCAUGGAAACGCACCCCACUGCUCUCACUCCAAGGGAGCAUCUGCCACGAGGAGUGCUGUCAACUGACGAACUUUGGCUGCAAAGACUUCAGGAUGAAAUGCAGCGUUGAACUGAACACUGUGUCCGGAAAAUCUGGGGAAAUCUCAUGCACUUUCUAAACACUUGGUGUCUGCUUCCCGGAGGAGUUUUCUUCAUUUGCCAGAUGACCCUUGCUCAGCCAUGUGUAUUUAAGGCCAAGAGCACUAAAAAACAAACUGGAAAUUGCAUCGGCACGAAUCACUCACUCCAGAGGAAGCCAGCCGCCAUGUUAUAAGGACACUCAGGAGCUCUAUAACAUCCACAUGACAAGGAACGUGGGCUUCCUGCCAACCGUCAGCACGAACUCCACAGCCUUGUGAAUGAGCCCCUCUGGAAGCAGAUCUUCCAGCUCAGGCAAGCCUUCUAAAUGUCUACACCCCCACUGGCAUCUUGACGGCAGCCUCAUGAGAGACUCGGAAGCCCUGCUAAGUCACUUCCGGAUCCCUGGCCCCAAAAAAGCAUAUAUUGUAUGAGAUAAUUAAAUGCUUAUUAUUUUAAGCCUCUACGUUUUGGGAAGUCAUCUGUUACACAGCAGUACAUAACUAACCAACACAGGGGUUGAGGGAGGGAGAAAUCAAAGGCUUAUUUUGGGUUUGGGGCUUGAGCAAUUCGGUAGAAGACAAUACCAUUGACUGGAAGUAGGGAAGCCUGGGAGAGGAGAAGGACGAGAAAUCACGAUGUGGAUCUUGGAAUGCCUUUUA